CAAAAGCUUGGUCCUGACUUUACUGUCAGCUUUGAUUAAAUUUAUACAUGCAAGUCUCUGCGACCCUGUGAGAAUGCCCUACCUACCCCCCGCCCGGGGUAUAGGAGCCGGUAUCAGGCACAACCCUCGGUUGGCCCACAACACCUUGUUAAGCCACACCCCCAAGGGAAUCCAGCAGUAAUAAACAUUAAGCUAUAAGUGCAAGCUUGACUUAGUUAAUAUCAAGUAGGGCCGGUUAACUUCGUGCCAGCCACCGCGGUUAUACGAGGGACCCAAGUUGACAGAAACCGGCGUAAAGAGUGGUUAAUAUAAUAUAAACUAAAGCAAUACACCCUCAAAGCUGUUAUAAGCUCCCGAGGGCAGGAGUAGCUUUCACGAAAGUGGCUUUAAUCAAUAUGAAUCCACGAGAACUAGGGAACAAACUGGGAUUAGAUACCCCACUAUGCCUAGACGUAAACAGAAGUGACCCCCCACCUCGUCAUUCGCCCGGGUACAACGAGCCCAAGCUUAAAACCCAAAGGACUUGGCGGUGCUUUAGACCCCCCUAGAGGAGCCUGUUCUAGAAUCGAUUCUCCCCGUUCAACCUCACCCCCCCUUGUUCUCCCCGCCUAUAUACCGCCGUCGUCAGCUUACCCUGUGAAGGAAGAGAAGUAAGCAGAAUUGGCACAGCCCAAAAAGUCAGGUCGAGGUGUAGCGUAUGGAGGGGAAAGAAAUGGGCUACAUUUGCUGAGCCAGCAAAUACGGAUUUUGCACUGAAAUUAGAGCACAUGAAGGAGGAUUUAGUAGUAAGGGGGGAGUAGAGCGUCCCCCUGAACCCGGCCCUGAAGCGCGCACACACCGCCCGUCACUCUCCCCGAACGACCAAUAAUCAUAAUUAAUAUAACACCAAAUACUAAGGGGAGGUAAGUCGUAACAUGGUAAGUGUACCGGAAGGUGUACUUGGACAAAACCC
RNAcentral lists this non-coding RNA (952 nucleotides) under Gobius niger (black goby). RNAcentral describes it as "partial 12S ribosomal RNA". It matches the Rfam family "Bacterial small subunit ribosomal RNA". Lineage: Eukaryota; Metazoa; Chordata; Actinopteri; Gobiiformes; Gobiidae. The record is from RNAcentral.